UGGGGAAUAUUGCACAAUGGGCGAAAGCCUGAUGCAGCAACGCCGCGUGAGUGAUGAAGGUCUUCGGAUUGUAAAGCUCUGUCUUUUGGGACGAUAAUGACGGUACCAAAGGAGGAAGCCACGGCUAACUACGUGCCAGCAGCCGCGGUAAUACGUAGGUGGCGAGCGUUGUCCGGAUUUACUGGGCGUAAAGGGUGCGUAGGCGGAUGUUUAAGUGAGAUGUGAAAUACCCGGGCUUAACUUGGGUGCUGCAUUUCAAACUGGAUAUCUAGAGUGCAGGAGAGGAGAAUGGAAUUCCUAGUGUAGCGGUGAAAUGCGUAGAGAUUAGGAAGAACACCAGUGGCGAAGGCGAUUCUCUGGACUGUAACUGACGCUGAGGCACGAAAGCGUGGGUAGCAAACAGGAUUAGAUACCCUGGUAGUCCACGCCGUAAACGAUGAGUACUAGGUGUAGGAGGUAUCGACCCCCUUCUGUGCCGCAGUAAACACA
This 489-nucleotide ribosomal RNA is filed under the name uncultured bacterium. RNAcentral describes it as "partial 16S ribosomal RNA". It matches the Rfam family "Bacterial small subunit ribosomal RNA", at positions 355 to 859 of the family's 1533-position model. The record is from RNAcentral.